UUGCCUGUGUGCAUGUCUGUGCACCAUGUUCGUGCCUGGUACUCAAGGUCAGAAGGUAUGUGCUGGGUGCUGGGAGUUGAGCUUGGCUCUUAUGGAAGCGCAAUGCUUGCUUUCCUUUCUUUUCCUUCUUUUGUUUUCCCUUGAGAUAGGAUCUCAUAUGUAGACCUCAAACUCACAAACACCUGCCUGCCCAUUUCUGCUUUUCCAGUGCUGGGAUCAGAGGUGUGUGCCAAGGUGCUUGGCCAUAGCACACCCUCCUCUUCAGUGCUGAACCAUCUGUGCAACCAUACACUACACUCUGUCUUUUGAGUUUGGGUCUCUCACGGAACCUGAUGCUCACCUUUGUGGUAGGUGGCUGUUGAGGGAUCCCCAGGGAUUCUCCUGUUUCUACCUUCCCAAUCCAGUACUGAGGUGAAAGUGAGCUGCCAGAUCCAGCUGUUAUGUGAGAGCUAGGAGUCUGAACUCAGGUCCCAGGUUUGUUCGGCAAGGACUAUACUGAUGGAGCAGUGCCCUCAUCCCUUUCAGAAAGGAGGGAUGGGGCAGGCAGGGUGGGGGCAGGGAGGACGAUGCCGCCAAUUCUCUCCAUAGAUUCUUCCAGACAGGUGUAGUGGCCAAAGAUUUGUUCAGGAAUCUUUUGUUUGAAAGUUCAUUUUGAUCAGAUGACAAAUGAUCUAAAUUUGGUCUCCAACUCCAGGCCACCGGAAGAACAGUGAGCAAAAGACUGACCCAAUGCAUAGCUCCAUGAAAGGCAUCUAGUGUGGCCUGCCUCCUACUGCUCAAGAAUCUGGCUGUGCUGCUUGCCCAGGACCCCCCUGAACUCCUGGCCCAAACAAUCUUUCCAACUCUGGCUCUGAAGUAUCUGGGACCAAAGACACCCAACAGUGGCGCCUGUUUUAUCAGUCAAUAGAAGAGCUAGGCGGCUGAGGCAGGAGCAUUAGGAGCAUCUCAUCAGCCUGGGCGACCUCUUAUGCAGAUCUGUUUCUCCAGAUAGAAUCCGGCCAGAGAGAGGGCUUAGCAGGCAGAAGGGAUUGCCACCAAGGCUGACGACCUGAGUUCAGUUCCCAGGACCCACACGAUGCAAGGAGAGAACUGACUCCUGCAAGCUGUCCUCCGACCUCCAUACUCAAGAGUUCACAACCAGAGAUACAACAACAUGAAAAUGAUUGUUUUAAAAAACUCACACAAAGAAACAAAGUCUGG
Mus musculus (house mouse) is the source of this 1200-nucleotide long non-coding RNA. RefSeq annotates it as predicted gene, 40505. Lineage: Eukaryota; Metazoa; Chordata; Mammalia; Rodentia; Muridae. The transcript is spliced from 3 exons. The record is from RefSeq and is a predicted model, not a curated record.